AACGAACGCUGGCGGCAUGCCUAAUACAUGCAAGUCGAACGAGAUCUUCGGAUCUAGUGGCGCACGGGUGCGUAACGCGUGGGAAUCUGCCCUUGGGUUCGGAAUAACGUCGGGAAACUGACGCUAAUACCGGAUGAUGACGUAAGUCCAAAGAUUUGUCGCCCAAGGAUGAGCCCGCGUAGGAUUAGCUAGUUGGUGGGGUAAAGGCCCACCAAGGCGACGAUCCUUAGCUGGUCUGAGAGGAUGAUCAGCCACACUGAGACUGAGACACGGACCAGACUCCUACGGGAGGCAGCAAUAGGGAAUAUUGAACAAUGGGGGCAACCCUGAUCCAGCAAUGCCGCGUGAGUGAUGAAGGCCUUAGGGUUGUAAAGCUCUUUUACCCGGGAUGAUAAUGACAGUACCGGGAGAAUAAGCCCCGGCUAACUCCGUGCCAGCCGCCGCAGUAA
RNAcentral lists this ribosomal RNA (449 nucleotides) under uncultured bacterium. Its description in RNAcentral is "partial 16S ribosomal RNA". It matches the Rfam family "Bacterial small subunit ribosomal RNA", at positions 29 to 523 of the family's 1533-position model. The record is from RNAcentral.